AGUGAACGCUGGCGGUAGGCCUAACACAUGCAAGUCGAACGGCAGCACAGUAAGAGCUUGCUCUUACGGGUGGCGAGUGGCGGACGGGUGAGGAAUACAGCGGAAUCUACUUUUUCGUGGGGGAUAACGUAGGGAAACUUACGCUAAUACCGCAUACGACCUACGGGUGAAAGCAGGGGAUCUUCGGACCUUGCGCGAUUGAAUGAGCCGAUGUCGGAUUAGCUAGUUGGCGGGGUAAAGGCCCACCAAGGCGACGACCCGUAGCUGGUCUGAGGGGAUGAUCAGCCACACUGGAACAGAGACACGGUCCAGACUCCUACGGGAGGCAGCAGUGGGGAAUAUUGGACAAUGGGCGCAAGCCUGAUCCAGCCAUACCGCGUGGGUGCAGAAGGCCUUCGGGUUGUAAAGCCCUUUUGUUGGGAAAGAAAAGCAGCAGGUUAAUACCCCGCUGUUCUGACGGUACCCAAAGAAUAAGCACCGGCUAACUUCGUG
RNAcentral lists this ribosomal RNA (492 nucleotides) under uncultured bacterium. RNAcentral describes it as "partial 16S ribosomal RNA". It matches the Rfam family "Bacterial small subunit ribosomal RNA", at positions 29 to 507 of the family's 1533-position model. The record is from RNAcentral.